This is a long non-coding RNA of Neofelis nebulosa (Clouded leopard), 2373 nucleotides long. RefSeq lists it as uncharacterized. The record is from RefSeq and is a predicted model, not a curated record. Lineage: Eukaryota; Metazoa; Chordata; Mammalia; Carnivora; Felidae. The transcript has 2 exons.
GGUUCUAGGGGGAGCUGCGAUUUAGCUUGGUGACUGCACCACUGAGAUGAUCCCUGGGGAAUUCUGCAGAGGACAGGGAAGGCUGUAAAUGGGUGAACAGUGCGCUGCUGUUCAGAAACAGGCAGGAGGCAGAGGAGGUGGGAGAGAGUCCAGCAUGGGGUGUCAACAGGAUGAUUUGAGAAGGGGAGGCUGUGAUCGCCAGGAGUCAGCAGGGGCUCGGUGAGAAAACUCGGGCUGACCUAGUUUCUCUGGCUGCCAGUAUCACCAGAGAAAUGCAAAGAGGAGGGAGUCUCCAGGACCUGGUUCAAGUGCUGGCAGUGGUUCUUCUGACCCUCCCGAGACAAAGUGUAAAAAGGUGGGUUGGAUGAAAAGCAGGACGAGGUGGUGAAUCCACAGCUGCCUGAAUAAAUCCGCCCACCGGCUUGCAGAGCUGCAGAUCGAUGGCGAGAUGUCAAUGCUCAGAGGGGUUGUCUUUUCAGAGGUGUUCCUCAGCACUCUCUUCUUGUGCCUGAAUGGGCCCGGAGUCUUGUCAGUGGCUUGAAGCCGGUGUGGAAGGAAGAGGUAAGUCAUGAGUCAAACGUAGGUUUGGGAAGGAGCGUGAAGACAGCGGAACCCCAAAUCAGGAUCUAGAAAGGCCCGACGAAUCAGAGUGCGAGGCCAGAUUCUGCAAAAUGGAACUUAACUUGGGUCCCUCAAAAGAACUGUGCAGGCACGGAGUGAGGGACUACAAAUUUCAGGGGCCAGAAUUUCUACGCGAUGCCGUGUGGCAGUCAAAAACUCCCACUUGAUUCAACAUCCACAUCUAGCAGACACGAGGCCAUGGUCAUUCUGCUCUGCACCCGCCUAGGCAUACCCUGGGAUGUGCCAUUACAUUGUGGGGUACAUGGCGGGAGAAGGCGAGGAUGAUAAGGGACAGUUCAAGAACCAAAGGCUCGCCUGAAAAACCUAAGUCUCAGAGAAUACUCGAAAGGCAGUUUCCAGAAGAGGCGUCAUUUGGAAGUACAUGCGAACUUAUUUUCUAGAAGAAAUAAGCGGUGGGUUUGGUAGAUGGUGUUUCCUCAGAUGGUCACCAUGCUCUCUCUCAUUUCACAUGUUUUUUCACGCUAUGAUCUUGCCACUCUUUAACAAAGACAUCGAGUUUAGUCAUCCUCCCCUUGAGUCUGGGCUUCCCUGGGACUUGUUUUGACCAAUAGAAUUUGGUGGAGGUGGUGGUAUGUAACUUCUCAAGCUGGACCUGAACAGUUAUGCAGUUUUCAGCUUUGCUGAUUGAAAUGCUCGCUUUUGGGGUCCGGUGCUAGCCGCCAUCGCACUGCAAGCCCUGACAAAGCAUCUGAGCCGCAAAAUUCUGAGCAAAUAAAUGGUCGUCGUUUGAAGCCGCUACGUCUCAGAGUGGAUAACUGAAAGAGUGAUAAGGAAGGUAGACGACGGGGGCGCCUGAGUGGCUCAGUCCAUUGAGCGUCCGACCUUGGCCCAGGCCGUGAUCUUGCAGUUCCCGAGUUCGAGCCCCGCAUCGGGCUCACUGCUGUCACCCUGUCUGCGCAGAGCCUGCUUUGGAUCCUCUGUCCCCCUCUCUCGGCCCCACCCCUGCUUAUGCUCUCUCUCAAAAAAUCAAUGAAAAACAUGAAAAAAAAAAUGGUAGACUAUGGUGCCACACUGUUUACCAGCCAUUAGAUCUGAGCGAAUCAUUUUACUUCUUUGUCCCGGUUUCCUUUUCUGCUUAACCGGGGGAGCCAACCCCCUGUGAUUAUUGUGGGGAUGAAAUAAUGCGUGAGAACCCUGUGGAAUAAUCCCCGGCCUGUCUGAGCUGGUCAGUACUAGAGUAGUAGCAGGACUAAGGGGGAGAAGCUGUGAAGACAUAAAGUAAUUCAACUCUAUUUUUUGUCAAGAAAACUCUGUGAUGGAAUUGUCCAAACGUGGGGUAAGCUGCUUCUGGAUGUGGCGAAACCCGCUUUCCUGGAGAAUUCCGAUCAUGAAUGGUGGCUGUCUGUAGACUUUGGGUAUUGAUGACCCUGUCAACUUUAAGAUUCUAUGUUCUGUCGUGCUGGGGCCAAGUCUUUGAGGAAGGAGCCGCUCUAUGUGUUCGGAAGAAAAAAGAACACUUAAGCUGCGGAGGGCUGAUCAUACUGGCCGAGCACCUGGGAGGAAACAAAGGUGCCGUGAGGCCAUUUGGCUGGAGAGUUUCACAUUGAACUAAGGCUCACACUGGGGAGUCUCCUGGUUGCUCUCGAGGGCAGUGUCAUAGAUUAUUCAUGACAGUCCCCAGCACACACUAGACACUCAACAAAUGCUAAUGGAGGCAGUCUAGAGGUGGCAAUAACCGCAGUCAGCACUAACUUAAGUCCGUUUCAAACAUUUGCUAAUUGUAUUUGCUUU